RNAcentral lists this ribosomal RNA (501 nucleotides) under uncultured bacterium. RNAcentral's name for it is "bacterial SSU rRNA". It matches the Rfam family "Bacterial small subunit ribosomal RNA", at positions 29 to 518 of the family's 1533-position model. The record is from RNAcentral.
AUGAACGCUAGCUACAGGCUUAACACAUGCAAGUCGAGGGGCAGCAUUGGGAUAGCUUGCUAUCCAGAUGGCGACCGGCGCACGGGUGAGUAACGCGUAUCCAACCUUCCCUAUAGUAGAGAAUAGCCCGGCGAAAGUCGGAUUAAUGCUCUAUGUUGUGUUUUGAGGACAUCUGACGAACACCAAAGGUUCACCGCUAUAGGAUGGGGAUGCGUCUGAUUAGCUUGUUGGCGGGGUAACGGCCCACCAAGGCGACGAUCAGUAGGGGUUCUGAGAGGAAGGUCCCCCACAUUGAUACUGAGACACGGACCAAACUCCUACGGGAGGCAGCAGUGAGGAAUAUUGGUCAAUGGGCGAGAGCCUGAACCAGCCAAGUAGCGUGCAGGAACCGACUGCCCUAUGGGUUGUAAACUGCUUUUAUCAGGGAAUAAAGUGCGGCACGUGUGCCGUUUUGUAUGUACCUGAUGAAUAAGGACCGGCUAAUUCCGUGCCAGCCGCUGC